Long non-coding RNA from Mus musculus (house mouse), 1326 nucleotides. RefSeq annotates it as predicted gene, 52522. The record is from RefSeq and is a predicted model, not a curated record. The transcript has 3 exons. NCBI's taxonomy places the organism in Eukaryota, Metazoa, Chordata, Mammalia, Rodentia, Muridae.
AGCCAAGGUGUCUUGCUUGAGUCCAUUCUGUAGGCCAGAUUCAACCCCUUGUUUCCAGGCACUGCCACUGUCAAGGUAAUCCUGAGGAAUGAGGAAAGACAUUUAUUAAAAGCCAGUCUUGACAUGUUUAAAACCAACUUAAGGGACAGUGUGUAACUACUGCUCUUUUAUGAAGGAUGACCAAGAUAGGUUUGUAUUCAUUUCUACUUCCCAAAACAUCCUCACAAUUCUUUCAUAAUCCUAACAUUGGAGCUCAGAACACACAAAAGCAUGUCCUGCCUCCUCCUGAAGAGGGUUGUUAUUGCCUAGCUCUUCUGCUGUUCCUCAUCUUGCUCUCCAUUGUCAGUCAGUGCAAUUCACUUAGAGCUCAAGCUGAGCAUCAUGAUUUUUGACUGGUGAGAAGGCAAGUCUUAUGGGUCUCUAGUUUGUCAAACAGAAAUGUACUUCUUGGGUAAAAGGGCCUAAGGAAAUUAGGCAUAGUUGAUGUUUCUUUGACUGUAACUUUCCACUAUUUACACAAGGUAUGAUUUGAAUGUGAAGUGCUGCUCUCAGUUUCACAUCAGCUGAUGAUGCUGUUGGGAGGAUUGUGACUCUUUAAGAAGUGGAGCCCAUCUAGAUCACUCCUGGCUUUUCCUUGGGGCUAUAUCUUGCUCUGACCUCCACAAGCAUUCACUUCCCUUCUGUUUCAUCCCCACCAGGAUUUCGACAGUCUUCUCCUUCUCAUGCUCGAACUAAUCUGUUAAUCUGUCCAAGUGCAUGGGAUUAAGCAAUCAUGGAUGAACCAUUUGAAACUGCAAGCCAAAACCACACCAAAACACAACAAACAACAAUAAAAACCCACAACUCCUCCUUUGAGACUUUCUGCCAGGAAUUUUGGCAGUAUUGACUUGAAGGCUGUUACUUUUGACCAGCUUGCAAACAAGCUUGAGAAGUGAAUCCAUAGAACUGGGAAGACUGCAGAAAGAGAUGUGGUUUCCAUUGCUGGCCUGCCAGGGUCCGUGUUAUAUGGACAGUGUGGCACACACUUGAGCCAAUUAAGUCAGUUGGACCAGAAUACUCAGCUGAACAAGGACAGAAGGAUGAGUCCAGCUAUCUUAACUCUUCACUAUAGAUAACAAUUUAUUUCCAUCAGUCACUAGGGGUGUCUUGCCUCCUCUGGAACCUGCCACACCUUAAUUGCAAAUGAGCUGAAAAUGGAUGAUUUUUUUUUAACCUACUGAUCACAGUGAAAAAGAAAAAAACAAAGACUCAUAAGACACUGGAAGGAAUGUGAGAAUACAUGUUCUCUGAACUGAGAAAAUAAACCCAUGACAAAUCAUACUAUUA